GAUGAACGCUGGCGGCAUGCCUAACACAUGCAAGUUGAACGAGAAGUUCCGGAACAAGUCUUCGGACAAGGGAAGGGACGGGAAGUAGCGAACGGGUGAGUAACGCGUGGGCAACCAACCUUACACAGGGGGAUAACGCAGAGAAAUUUGCGCUAAUACCGCAUAAGCGCACAGGAUCACAUGAUCUGGUGUGAAAAACUCCGGUGGUGUAAGACGGGCCCGCGUCUGAUUAGCUAGUUGGUGAGGUAAAGGCUCACCAAGGCGACGAUCAGUAGCCGACCUGAGAGGGUGAUCGGCCACAUUGGGACUGAGACACGGCCCAAACUCCUACGGGAGGCAGCAGUGGGGGAUAUUGCACAAUGGAGGGAACUCUGAUGCAGCAAUGCCGCGUGAAGGAAGAAGGUUUUCGGAUUGUAAACUUCUAUCAGCAGGGAAGAAAAUGACGGUACCUGACUAAGAAGCCCCGGCUAACUAUGUGCCAGCAGCCGCGGUAAUACAUAGGGGGCAAGCGUUAUCCGGAAUGACUGGGUGUAAAGGGUGCGUAGGCGGUAAGGUAAGUCUGAUGUGAAAGACUGGGGCUCAACUCCAGGGGUGCAUUGGAAACUAUGUUACUAGAGUACAGGAGAGGGAAGCGGAAUUCCUAGUGUAGCGGUGAAAUGCGUAGAUAUUAGGAGGAACACCGGUGGCGAAGGCGGCUUUCUGGACUGAAACUGACGCUGAGGCACGAAAGCGUGGGGAGCAAACAGG
Molecule: ribosomal RNA, 747 nt
Filed under: uncultured Lachnospiraceae bacterium
Lineage: Bacteria; Bacillati; Bacillota; Clostridia; Lachnospirales; Lachnospiraceae
Description: bacterial SSU rRNA
Rfam family: Bacterial small subunit ribosomal RNA
Source: RNAcentral